This 972-nucleotide ribosomal RNA is filed under the name Triticum aestivum (bread wheat). RNAcentral describes it as "partial small subunit ribosomal RNA". Lineage: Eukaryota; Viridiplantae; Streptophyta; Magnoliopsida; Poales; Poaceae. The record is from RNAcentral.
AUGCUUAGGUAUCGCUAUGAGAUGCAUACCUUUUAUGUCAUGCUUACUGUUUACUCGUGGGUAAGUCUAAUCGGAAAAGUGCUAAUAUUUCCAACAAUCCAAAAACCUUAUUUUAGGCACUUUUCGAUUCAAAGCUUUGCUGCUACUCUGAAACCGGAAAAGUUUACCGGGACGGAUUUUAAGCGUUGGCAGACUAGGACCACCUUGUGGCUCACAGCGAUGAACGUGUUCUGGGUUGGUGGUGUGUCCCUCACAGAAACGAUUGCUCCUGAACAGGAGAAGGCGUUUAGGGAGGCAACCACAAUCUUUCUGGGAGCAGUUCUGAGUGUGAUUGGAGACAAGUUGGUUGACGCCUAUAUUCAUAUGGGGGUUGCCAAAAACUUAUGGGAUGCGCUCGAAGUCAAAUUCGGCGCAACUGAUGCUGGCAGUGAGCUGUAUGCCAUGGAGCAGUUUCAUGAUUACAGGAUGGUUGAUAAACGUUCUGUAUUGGACCAGGCUCAUGAGAUACAGUGCAUUGCUAAGGAGCUGGAGCUCUUGAAGUGUGAGUUACCGGACAAGUUUGUCGCGGGUUGCAUUAUUGCAAAACUCCCUCCUAGCUGGAGGAACUUUGCUACUUCUCUCAAGCACGUGAGACGUGAAUUCUCUGUUGAGGAUGUUAUCGGUCAUCUCAGUGUUGAGCAGAACUCGAGAGCAAAUGACUCACACGUGAAAGGGGCAGAGGGUUCUUCUAGCGCCAAUGUGGUGCAGAAGAACUUCCACAAGUUCAAGGGAAAGAACUCUGUCCAGCAAAAUACUACCUUUAAGAAGAAGGGUAAGAAGAAAGACAAAAAGAGAGAUGGUUGCUUUACUUGUGGUUCAGAUGAACAUUGGGCAAACAAGUACAAGAAGCCAGCACAUGACUCCAAGUGUGUGAAUGUCACUCUGAGCAACAAUGAUGCGGCAUCUGGGUCGCAUGAGAUUGUUCCGUCCUGA